AGCUCUUGUGGUUUCAACUGCUUGCAUCUGCAGUUUCUCAAUUCUGAGUUACUGGGACUCCCUCUGAGGCUCCAGGGCUCUCCCGUCUCCUCGUCUUCCCGCGCUGAGAGCUGGCGUGUGUGACGUUGUCUGGCAGAGCCCCUCUCAUGCUUCCUGGGAGGAGGGUUUGGGAGGGCCUGGGGGGUCGCCCAGUACCCUCGACAGAGCAAAAGCAGAACUGGGCACACAUCCGAGGGAAGCAUGCCUGAUGCCGUGAAGAAGAUGAAACAGAUAAGAAUAAAAGAGGAAAACCAAGUGGAAUUAACCUAAACAGCGUCGCUCCCGUGAUAUUUUGUAUAUAUAAAGCAAAAGGAAAAGGCUGUCUGGCCAAGACAGAAAAAUACUGUCUUGCUCUAACUAUUUAAAAAACCUGUAUUAGAGUAUAGCUGAUGCCCAAUGUUGUGUUAGUCUCAGGUGUACAGUAAAGUGAAUCAGCUAUGGAAGUGAGUUCCUCAGUCGUAUCCGACUCUUUGCAACUGUCUAGUCCAUGGGAUUCUCCAGGCCAGAAUGCUGGAGUGGGUAGCCUUUCCGUUCUCCAGGGGAUCUUCCCAACCCAGGGAUCGAACCCAGGUCCCCCGCACUUCGGGCGGAUUCUUUACCGGCUGAGCCACAAGGGAAGCCACACGUAUCCCCUCCUUUUCGAAUUUCCCGUCCACGCAGGCUGUUACAGACCGCCGAGGAGAGUUCCCUGUGCUGCUUCUCUGGGGGCAGGGAAGGAAUGAGGUCAGGCAGAGACACUGAAGACGCUCUCAGGGGGACUCCCCAGUGGUCCGGUGUCUGAGACACCGCACUGCCAGUGUGGAGGGCCUGGGCUCAAUCCCUGGUUGGGGAACUAGACCCCACAGGCCGCAACUCAGAGUUUGCAUGGCACAGCUAAAGAUCGUCCAUGCUGCAGCUCAAAACUAGGACCUGCUUGCCGCAACAAAGACGGAAGACUCCACAUGUCGCAACUAAGAUCCAGCGCAGCCAAUGAGAUGACGCGUUCAAAGUUGGAAAGCUUUGGGAGACUGAGUCUAACGAGAGCCGCCUGUUGGAAACGUCACGGUCCCCAAAUCCAGAGGGAGCCGUCUACCCAUUCCUCGAGCACCGCAGGGUGGAGACGCCACAGAGGGAGGCGGAGUAACUUCGUCAGGAUGAACCUCUCGAAACUGAAUUGCUGGGUGGAGAAGCUUGAAGCAGUGCAUCCCUCUGCGCAGGACGAGACGAGCCUCACGGGACUGCCCUGUGAAUCCCACACCCC
This is a long non-coding RNA of Bos taurus (domestic cattle), 1279 nucleotides long. The record is from Ensembl. NCBI's taxonomy places the organism in Eukaryota, Metazoa, Chordata, Mammalia, Artiodactyla, Bovidae.